This 323-nucleotide unclassified non-coding RNA is filed under the name Hevea brasiliensis (rubber tree). Lineage: Eukaryota; Viridiplantae; Streptophyta; Magnoliopsida; Malpighiales; Euphorbiaceae. The record is from RNAcentral.
GGAACAGCUAGAGCUGCAAACUGAGAUGGAACAACUUCUGAAGGAUAGACUCCUCUAUUCAAGCAUGACACGUCUAGUGUCAGUUUCACCUUCUUGCCAGUAGUAAAACUCAUAAAAUGAAGCUGCAACUCAAGUUUCUCAACAGUUGGAGUGGAAAAGGUAAUAUCAGCCAAGUUCCGGAACUGUGUUUGUGCCUUUUGCACCUCGGUGACCACAUCAAGCGAGUUGCCUAAAAGAGAACUGGUAACCUGCGUUUCUUGUGCGGGAGUCCUAGCACCAAAUUUCUUUGAGAUCUCAGCCUUUAACACAAAUCUUAAUGCAGC